CAAACUAAAGAUGGCGACCGGCGCACGGGUGAGUAACACGUAUCCAACCUGCCGAUAACUCGGGGAUAGCCUUUCGAAAGAAAGAUUAAUAUCCGAUAGUAUAUUAAAACCGCAUGGUUUUACUAUUAAAGAAUUUCGGUUAUCGAUGGGGAUGCGUUCCAUUAGUUUGUUGGCGGGUAACGGCCCACCAAGACUACGAUGGAUAGGGGUUCUGAGAGGAAGGUCCCCCACAUUGGAACUGAGACACGGUCCAA
RNAcentral lists this ribosomal RNA (254 nucleotides) under uncultured bacterium. RNAcentral's name for it is "partial 16S ribosomal RNA". It matches the Rfam family "Bacterial small subunit ribosomal RNA", at positions 74 to 334 of the family's 1533-position model. The record is from RNAcentral.